Molecule: ribosomal RNA, 254 nt
Filed under: uncultured bacterium
Lineage: Bacteria
Description: partial 16S ribosomal RNA
Rfam family: Bacterial small subunit ribosomal RNA
Source: RNAcentral
UACAUGGGGUGCAAACGUUGCUCGGAAUUAUUGGGCGUAAAGCGCACGUAGGCGGUUCGUUAAGUCGGAUGUGAAAGCCCUCGGCUCAACUGAGGAAGUGCACCCGAAACUGGCGAGCUUGAGUACGAAAGAGGAUCGCGGAAUUCCCGGUGUAGAGGUGAAAUUCGUAGAUAUCGGGGAGGAACACCGGGUGGCGAAGGCGGCGAUCUGGGUCGAUACUGACGCUGAGGUGCGAAAGCGUGGGGAGCAACAGG